RNAcentral lists this ribosomal RNA (234 nucleotides) under Xanthomonas citri pv. citri. RNAcentral describes it as "partial 16S ribosomal RNA". It matches the Rfam family "Bacterial small subunit ribosomal RNA", at positions 530 to 763 of the family's 1533-position model. Lineage: Bacteria; Pseudomonadati; Pseudomonadota; Gammaproteobacteria; Lysobacterales; Lysobacteraceae. The record is from RNAcentral.
GGUGGCAAGCGUUAUCCGGAAUUAUUGGGCGUAAAGCGCGCGUAGGCGGUUUUUUAAGUCUGAUGUGAAAGCCCACGGCUCAACCGUGGAGGGUCAUUGGAAACUGGAAAACUUGAGUGCAGAAGAGGAAAGUGGAAUUCCAUGUGUAGCGGUGAAAUGCGCAGAGAUAUGGAGGAACACCAGUGGCGAAGGCGACUUUCUGGUCUGUAACUGACGCUGAUGUGCGAAAGCGUG